Molecule: small nucleolar RNA, 97 nt
Filed under: Tupaia belangeri (northern tree shrew)
Lineage: Eukaryota; Metazoa; Chordata; Mammalia; Scandentia; Tupaiidae
Description: Small nucleolar RNA U13 (ENSTBEG00000021183.1)
Rfam family: Small nucleolar RNA U13
Source: RNAcentral
AUCCUUUUGUGGAUCAUAAGUAUGAUGACUGGUGUUCACACCUGUGUGUGACAUGUGCCUUCUUCUUGUUAUGAUGUCAGCACAGCACCAUCUGACA